RNAcentral lists this unclassified non-coding RNA (357 nucleotides) under soil metagenome. RNAcentral describes it as "partial contains 5.8S ribosomal RNA, internal transcribed spacer 2, and large subunit ribosomal RNA". The stretch from base 1 to 120 matches the Rfam family "5.8S ribosomal RNA", at positions 35 to 154 of the family's 154-position model. The record is from RNAcentral.
GAUGAAGAACGUAGCGAAAUGCGAUAAGUAAUGUGAAUUGCAGAAUUCAGUGAAUCAUCGAAUCUUUGAACGCACAUUGCGCCCAUUAGUAUUCUAGUGGGCAUGCCUGUUCGAGCGUCAUUUCAACCCUCAAGCCUUAGUUGCUUGGUGUUGGGAGCUUAUCUUGCCGAAAGGCGGGACAACUCCUUAAAUUUAUCGGCGGAGUCGCGGUGACCCCAAGCGUAGUAAAUUAUUUUUUCCUCGCUUUAGGUGUUAACGCUGGCUUUUCUAGCCGUUAAACCCCCCCUAAUAUUUUAAUGGUUGACCUCGGAUCAGGUAGGACUACCCGCUGAACUUAAGCAUAUCAUAAGCGGAGGA